AUAACUCUGGUGGUUGAGCAGAGGUC
Molecule: non-coding RNA, 26 nt
Filed under: Mus musculus (house mouse)
Lineage: Eukaryota; Metazoa; Chordata; Mammalia; Rodentia; Muridae
Source: RNAcentral